CAUAGUGUAUCCUGAACAUUCCAAAGUACAGAUGCUAUAAUUUGCUAUUACUGAACUCCAAGGUUUUUUAUAUAAACAGUUUGUUUUCAUCCACAGACAUGGAAGCUAUUUACUGCUGUAUCUCAGCACUGGAAAUGUGCUAGACACAGAAGGCACUCAACAUUUGUUGAAUGAAGGAAUAAGCUCUUAUCCACACUGGGACAAAAUGGUCUUCUGAAACAAAUCCCAACAGCUCAAUGAAAAUUUCAAGUGCUGUCUUCUUUCCUUGUUAAGGACUUGCUCAUAAAGUGGGUGACUUCUAUCCCUGGGGAGGAAUGCUGGGAGGCAGCUGGUGGCUAAGGGUCCUUCUUCCUCAAGGGGACACUCCUGGAUCAGUCAAGAUCUCCUGUGGGACCCAGAAUACAACACAACAUCUGCAGUCGAGAAGAGCUGAAUUCCUCUUUGUUGAACCCACAGACAGGUGUUAAAAACCUGACUUGCUAGUGCCCUUCCCAGUUGCCUUUCAGAAACAUCAGCAAAAGUGUCAAUAAAUGUGGGAUAGGACAGCAGGUUCAGAAAGACCUGCUCAAAGGCAAAUCAAAAUACUCUUGUAGGAAGGCUAAAUGCAUCCCUUGAAAAGUUUAGAAAGAAUAGAGACACACGACAUGUGGAGACUUACAUUCCCAGUUACUAAAGUAAAGAGAUAACCAUUUCCGUUUUCCCCUUUUGUUUACCACUCUCUACCUUGAAUGCCUCACCUUCUGGUUGGUUCCCUCUCAGAAAGAGCUCAUGUCCUCACCUUGACCCACCCUCUCCUUCUCUUCAGGGUUCAGCCUCCAGGCUUCCUCCAACACCCCAUGCCUGCUCCUGUAGAUGUCCCCUUAGUCCAAGCCGUGGCCCACAGGCUGCAUGCUGACCAGGACAGCUUCAAAUGAGGCCCGACACAAAGUCAUCAACUAUCUUAAAACAUUAAGAGAUUUUUUUUUGCAACCUUUUUUUUUUUUU
Long non-coding RNA from Sapajus apella (tufted capuchin), 984 nucleotides. RefSeq lists it as uncharacterized. The record is from RefSeq and is a predicted model, not a curated record. NCBI's taxonomy places the organism in Eukaryota, Metazoa, Chordata, Mammalia, Primates, Cebidae. The transcript is spliced from 2 exons.